This 69-nucleotide transfer RNA is filed under the name human oral metagenome. It matches the Rfam family "tRNA". From Rfam's summary of the family: Transfer RNA (tRNA) molecules are approximately 80 nucleotides in length. Their secondary structure includes four short double-helical elements and three loops (D, anti-codon, and T loops). The record is from RNAcentral.
GGGGUGUAGUUCAGUGGUAGAAUAAAGGUCUCCAAAACCUCAGAUGAGAGUUCGAUUCUUUCCACCCCC